RNAcentral lists this long non-coding RNA (1010 nucleotides) under Fragaria vesca (wild strawberry). RNAcentral describes it as "long non-coding RNA (FVES_LNC004360)". Lineage: Eukaryota; Viridiplantae; Streptophyta; Magnoliopsida; Rosales; Rosaceae. The record is from RNAcentral.
AAAAAAAAAAAAAAAAAAACUACUUCUUAGUUCCACGGACAAUACAUGUUUAAAGCUGUAGAUUAAGAUUUCAUUCCAAAAUAAAAACUACAUAUUAAGCUUAUUUUCUUUUGAACUCAAAGAAAAUUUUGUCAUUAGUACUAAAGUAGAGGGUACAAUAUGAAUCGAUACGUUGUCAUGCGUACAGAGGACAAACAAGAUCAUCUGAUCUGUAUGAGGGUUGCAUCCUCAUUACAAAUUUCAGCUCACAAGGAGCCUAUAAUCUAAUAGCAAAUAGAUCAUAAGCUAAGAUCCCACCUAGAAAACUAGAAAAAGACUAAAAGAAAGAUAGACUCAUAACGCCAAAACGCCAUGAGGCACAAAAGUGCUUAGAGUCCUAAUGAAAUGAACUUAUUGUACUAGAAAACUAUAAACUAAAAAGCAUCCCAAAGCCCAAAAAGAAAUUAAACCUAAACCCAAAAUAGUUGACCUAGCCCAAACUUUCCUUCACAGUUGCAGGAAGGACAUGGAAGAGGAACACCAUAGCCGUCGCCGCCGUGAGAUGAAGUUACAAUCGUGAGACGUCACAGUCGUGGGACACCACCUCCUUGUUCCGCGCAGCCCCAAGCACACCCGAGAGAGAAAAAACUCCAUCGUCGCCACAAACAACAUCUCUAUCAAACCAAAACUCCUCCCAAGAAUAGAUAAGAACGGAGAUGAAAUCGGGAAGAUGAAACCAGAUCUGCUCCUCGAGUCCAUAGUGUUAUACCUCCACCCUAAUCUGAAAAGCUACGCUGAUCAAAAGCUGUUAAGAAAGUCACGCUGAUCAAAAGCUGUUAAGAACCUCUGACCAAUUACCUCUCAAAGCAUUUGGUUGCUGACAUAUCUUUCAUCCGACAACAAAGUCAUAUGGCUUCAGCAGAUCUAGAGACCUGCCUAGCGUUAGACCGUUGCCGGAUGAUGGUGGGAUUUCGUGGUUGGCGGCCGACUUAGAGAGAGAGAGAGAGAGAGAGAGAGAGAGAGAGAGAGAG